RNAcentral lists this ribosomal RNA (119 nucleotides) under Pteropus alecto (black flying fox). Lineage: Eukaryota; Metazoa; Chordata; Mammalia; Chiroptera; Pteropodidae. The record is from RNAcentral.
GUCUAUGGCCAUGCCAUCCUGAAAAAGCUUGAUCAUGUCUGAUCUCGGAAGCUAAGCAGAGUCAGGCGUGGUUAGUACUUGGAUGGGAGACCACCUAGAAAGAACAGGUGCUGUAGGCG